UUUCCCUACGGGACGCAGCAGUGGGGAAUAUUGGGCAAUGGGCGCAAGCCUGACCCAGCAACGACGCGUGAAGGAAGAAGGCUUUCGGGUUGUAAACUUCUUUUAAGAGGGAAGAGCAGAAGACGGUACCUCUUGAACAAGCCCCGGCUAACUACGUGCCAGCAGCCGCGGUAAAACGUAGGGGGCGAGCGUUGUCCGGAAUGACUGGGCGUAAAGGGUGCGUAGGCGGCAUAAUAAGUUAGAAGUGAAAUACCCAGAGCUUAACUCGGGUGCUGCUUCUAAGACUGUUGAGCUUGAGUGCGGGG
RNAcentral lists this ribosomal RNA (305 nucleotides) under uncultured bacterium. Its description in RNAcentral is "bacterial SSU rRNA". It matches the Rfam family "Bacterial small subunit ribosomal RNA", at positions 334 to 653 of the family's 1533-position model. The record is from RNAcentral.